RNAcentral lists this long non-coding RNA (2266 nucleotides) under Nicotiana benthamiana. Its description in RNAcentral is "long non-coding RNA (NBEN_LNC009499)". The record is from RNAcentral. Lineage: Eukaryota; Viridiplantae; Streptophyta; Magnoliopsida; Solanales; Solanaceae.
UUUCCGAAAUACAGCCCCCACCCCAGAAGUCAUCUCCUUCACACCCACCCUCUCCAAAACCCUAAAUCACCGCCGCCACCAUAUCCCUUACCCCAAAACCCGGCGUGGCCGGCUCCAUUCACCCCCAAAUUCACACCGUAGCUCCCUCUCCUCUCCCUCACCACGAAUCCCCGUCCACUUUCCUUCGAAUCAUCACCCAACUGCUCGAAUCUUGAUUCAAAAACCUCGGUCAAAAGACAAAUUCAUCCAAACCGGGUCAAGUUCAUCCCCACAGUCUCAUCGUUCUUUUAUUAAUAAAUCCAGGGUCAAUUUUGUCGAAUAUCACCACGCCGUUCCCAAUUUCUGAUCUAGGGUUUCAAGGUCAAUUUUGUUGGAGGCUUCAGGCGUCAGUAUGAUUUCUUAACUGAUGUUAUAUGUUUAUAAACAUAAAAUAUUAAUUAAGAAACCAAUUUCGGCGAUUUAGGCAGUGUGAAGAUUUAACCGUGAGUUCCCUCUUUCUUCUUUUAUUUUUUUUUCUGCAUGUUCAUCUCAUUUUUUGAUAAUGGUUUCACGUUUAGUUGUUUCAUGAAGAUAAGUUAUUAUUUAUUCAUUCAUGCUUUUGUUUUAAUGAAGUGCAGUGUUUCUCAAUUCGUUUCAGCGGUUAAUCUUGUUUAAUUAGUAUAAUUCGACUCAACUAGGUUUUACUCGUCUUAAUUUCAAAUUGCAUUUGGAAAUGUUAUACUAAUUGAUUUCACGUUAUGUUGUUCUCUUCUUUCUGAUGCUUAGAAUUUAGCUCAUUAGUAUGUGUAACUUCUGUCUUGAAUAAGUGUUAGACUUGAAUUGGAUUAAGUUGGGUUUUUGAUUCAGUUUAGUAGUGUUAAUUGGUUAUUUGGAUGUAAUUGAGAAAUUUUAGUUAUUUAAUUUAGUUUAAGCUUCAACUGGGGUAAGGGUAUGGUGCUGUUAAAUUGGGUAGUAAUUUCAGGGGGUUUUCAGGGGUAGUUUUGGGGAUGGAAAUUGGCAACAUCUUGAAAAAUAGUAAAUUCAAGAGUAAGGAAAGGGUAGUUUAGGAAUUGCAACAUGCAUAGGACAUUCUAGAAUGGUACCUUAGUAUGCAUUUCAAUAAAACUAAGGUAGUUACUUGGGCAACAAGUCAGAAAAUGAGGGUUAAAGUAAAAAAAUUAAUAGGGAUUAAUAGUGAAAACUAAAACUUGGGGGGCUGCCCUACUUUGCUUCUAUAAAAAGGCGUUAGAUGCCUUGAAAAAGGGGGCUCCUCCAUUAGCUAUUUUUUUAGCCAUUAUUUAGAUCAUUAGUUCAUAAAUACUCUUGCAUUCUAGUUCGUUUUUUUUCUUAGCCUUUGAUUUCCAUAAAACAAAAAAAGAAACAAAAAGUAAAAACUCAAAAACAGUAGAAAAACCGAAAAAGCUAGAAGGAACACUGUUCCAUUGGUUGCUGGUAUACUCUCCUUGGUUUGGAUUCAUUUUGGAGUGAAUUUGGGUUUGAUUGAGCUGGUUUGGAGGAAUUCUGGUCAUUUUUGGUGUUGUCUGGGGUAGAUUUGUUGUGUCUGGUGGUGUGUUGAAGCAUUCAUGGGUUACUGAACUUGCCUGGGCUGUCAUUUUGGAGUCUGCUUGAAAGCUAUUAUUGUUAAUGUGUGUGUGUCUGUUAAAAUCUCUUGAAAUCAUCCUUGUGUUGCUGGGCGUUAUUGUUGCUGUUGGCUGCUGCUUUAACUGAUCUCUUCUUCCUAUUUCUAAAUUCCAGGUACACAUUUCAAGCUUAUGUUGAUGUAUCUAUUGCUGUCGAAACAAUGAGAUGAAACGGAAGCCAUUUUUUUGCUGAAAUUUUUGUUGAUUCUGUCUGUUCUAUAUAGUUUCUCUGUUUUGAUGGUUUAUUGUAACUAAACUAAGAUGGAUUCAACUUACAGUAGAUGUGAACUAUCUAAAAUGUUAUGAAUGGUGGCCAGUUUAGCAUGUUUGUUUAAUUGAGUAGGUUACUGGACAUUUAAACUAGUAAAUGUAUUCCUGUGUGAUUUUCAUAGUUAAUAGUUUCAGCUAGGCUAGUUCACGUUAUUAGAAUUGGAAUAGUUAACUGUUGUAGUGCAACGUCAAGUGAAGUCAUUUACUGUGCAGAAUUUAUUGUUUCAAUUUGAGAUCAUUUGUCAUAUAGUUUAUACGUUAAUUUGAAAUUUUGGCAUUAGUGGAAUCAUUGUUAAAUAUCUAAUUGGAAAUAGGAACACUGUGUUUGGUCGCUAAUAAUCUAUUGAAGGUUUUCAUGAGAAUUUGGAUAAUUAUUU